GCGUGGGGAAUAUUGGACAAUGGGCGCAAGCCUGAUCCAGCCAUGCCGCGUGGGUGAAGAAGGCCUUCGGUUGUAAGCCCUUUAGGUGGGGAGGGAAGGGCAUUCAUGCUAAUACCAUGGAUGAUUGACGUUACCCACAGAAUAAGCACCGGCUAACUCCGUGCCAGCAGCCGCGGUAAUACGGAGGGUGCAAGCGUUAAUCGGAAUUACUGGGCGUAAAGCGCACGUAGGCGGUUUGACAAGUGGGAUGUGAAAGCCCUGGGCUCAACCUGGGAACUGCAUCCCAAACUGUCAGGCUAGAGUAUGGUAGAGGGGGGCGGAAUUCCCGGUGUAGCGGUGAAAUGCGUAGAGAUCGGGAGGAACAUCAGUGGCGAAGGCGGCCCCCUGGACUGAUACUGACGCUGAGGUGCGAAAGCGUGGGGGAUCAAACAGGAUUAGAUACCCUGGUAGUCCACGCUGUAAACGAUGAGAACUGGCCGUCGGGCCCUUCGGGGGUUUGGUGGCGGUAGGCUAACGCGCUAAGUUCUCCGCCUGGGG
This 537-nucleotide ribosomal RNA is filed under the name uncultured bacterium. RNAcentral's name for it is "bacterial SSU rRNA". It matches the Rfam family "Bacterial small subunit ribosomal RNA", at positions 352 to 878 of the family's 1533-position model. The record is from RNAcentral.